This 210-nucleotide long non-coding RNA is filed under the name Elaeis guineensis (African oil palm). RNAcentral describes it as "long non-coding RNA (EGUI_LNC008968)". Lineage: Eukaryota; Viridiplantae; Streptophyta; Magnoliopsida; Arecales; Arecaceae. The record is from RNAcentral.
GUCGAGGGUGUCUAUAACUUCGUAUCACUGAAUAAAAUAUAUAAAAAUAAUCUGUUUAAGAAUCGAAGGAGUAUAUCAAAAUAUAUCCCUCAAUAAAAGUUUAAGUUUGAGGUGCAUUAAUUAUUUUAGUUUUAUAGUUUCAAUUAAUUUAGGUCUAAAAUUAUUAAUAAUAUUUUAUUUUUUUCAUUACAGGAUGCUGAAAUAUCUGAC